GAGCCGCACGCCAAGAAAAAGUCAAAGAUCUCCGCCUCGAGAAAACUGCAGCUGAAGACCCUGAUGCUGCAGAUAGCGAAGCAGGAGCUGGAGCGCGAGGCAGAGGAUCGGCGCGGGGAGAAGGGGCGCGCUCUGAGCACGCGGUGCCAGCCCCUGGAAGUGGCUGGGCUGAGCUUCGAGGAGC
Molecule: long non-coding RNA, 184 nt
Organism: Myotis brandtii (Brandt's bat)
Lineage: Eukaryota; Metazoa; Chordata; Mammalia; Chiroptera; Vespertilionidae
Exons: 3
Source: RefSeq, a predicted model, not a curated record